GGGUUAAAUGCAGAGCACAAAUUCUGAGUAUGGGUCACCAUACUUGGCUGAAUGUCACAUCACGUCACUUUAAAAACAAAUUAAAAAAAGAAAGAUCACCUUUGAUUAAUGUUGACGAAAAAAUGACAUUUGCUGCAGGUUCAGUAAAGUAAGAAAACAGAUCAUUUUACAAGUAGUCUAUUAAAAAUAUCACAACCAUUGUAGAGGUAUGUUUGUUAAAAAUAAUGUGACACUUCAAUACUUACAUUUCUAUUAUCCUGUGAGAAUGUUUCAUGUAUAUGUUUAUUUAUUUAUUUUGCAGGAUCUAUCUGGUCAAGAUUUGUAUCAAAAGAGGUUAAGGUCAGUUACAGACAGAGUCUGGUGGCACAAACAGAGAUCAACGACCGCUAAAGAACAGCAGCUGGGGGAGAUAUUGUUACCGAGCUGGAUGAAGAAAAACAAAUGUGUGUUGAUUUGGCACACAAAGAUGUGAGUGGUUGCUGCUGUCCUGCUGUUUCCACUUCUAUUAAAGCAGAGUCUGAGAUCUCUUUGUGUCAUCAGUGAGGAACCAGAUACACCCAAGCCUGUGCUGUUUAUGUGCAAAUGCCUUGGAUGUGGAGUCUCUUUAAGAAAUAAUGAUGGAAGUGGAGGAGGAGGUCUGUGAAGUAGAUGAUGUGAACACAGCUCUACACUUCAACUUCAACACUGAAUAUGCUUCACAGUUGAGAGACACCCUGACUUUUACUGAAAACUGAAAACCUAUAUGCCACACACAAUGGCCAAUUAUUAUUAUUUGUUUUAUUAAAUUAAUGUGUAUGUAUAUAAAUGCAUGAAAUUUAUUUUUGUUUCUGUAUGUGUUUGUUAGUUUGUUUGUAAUACAUAUUUAUGGAUGAUUGUUUAUUUAUUUGUGUUUGUUGGUUUGUUUGUAAUACAUAUUCAUGUAUUAAA
Molecule: long non-coding RNA, 927 nt
Organism: Carassius auratus (goldfish)
Lineage: Eukaryota; Metazoa; Chordata; Actinopteri; Cypriniformes; Cyprinidae
Exons: 3
Source: RefSeq, a predicted model, not a curated record